AGAGUCGUAGCUCAGUGGCAGGGCAUCUGCCUUGCAAGUGAAAGAUCCUAGGUUCAAUCCCUGACAUUUCCA
Non-coding RNA from Podarcis lilfordi (Lilford's wall lizard), 72 nucleotides. The record is from the annotation of a GenBank genome assembly. Lineage: Eukaryota; Metazoa; Chordata; Lepidosauria; Squamata; Lacertidae.